This 265-nucleotide long non-coding RNA is filed under the name Daucus carota (carrot). Its description in RNAcentral is "long non-coding RNA (DCAR_LNC005080)". The record is from RNAcentral. Lineage: Eukaryota; Viridiplantae; Streptophyta; Magnoliopsida; Apiales; Apiaceae.
CUCCAGAUGCCUCUACAAACAACAAUGAUGCUGUUGGUAGAACAGAAGCUUUAAGUACAGUCUCCGGUAUGUUGGGUCAGAACUUCCCUAUUCUUUCAGUUUCGUCCCAAUCUGAAAUGCCUUGUGCAACUGAAGUUGCUAACAUUGACUCUGACAGCACUGGGUUACUUUGUCCAUCAACUGAUUCCAGAGAUAAGCCUAUGCUGCAGACAAAUGUAUCUAAGAAUACACUUGCUAGAGGGAAAAAAAAGAGAAAAGAAGCUCU